RNAcentral lists this ribosomal RNA (779 nucleotides) under uncultured Neocallimastigales. Its description in RNAcentral is "partial large subunit ribosomal RNA". The stretch from base 14 to 698 matches the Rfam family "Eukaryotic large subunit ribosomal RNA", at positions 24 to 664 of the family's 3401-position model. Lineage: Eukaryota; Fungi; Neocallimastigomycota; Neocallimastigomycetes; Neocallimastigales. The record is from RNAcentral.
UACUAGAGUAGCACUCGCAUAUCAAUAAGCGGAGGAAAAGAAACUAACAAGGAUUCCCUUAGUAACGGCGAGUGAAGCGGGAAGAGCUCAAAUUUGAAAUCUUCAAGGUUUUACCUUGACGAAUUGUAGUUUAAAGAAGUGUUUUCUGUUGGAGUUUUGGUAAAAGCUUCUUUGGAAUAGGACAUCAUAGAGGGUGAGAAUCCCGUAUUUGACCAUUAUUUCCAGCUGUGUGAUACACUUUCAAAGAGUCGGAUUGUUUGGGAAUGCAGUCCAAAAUGGGUGGUAAAUUUCAUCUAAAGCUAAAUAUUGGCGAGAGACCGAUAGCGAACAAGUACCGUGAGGGAAAGAUGAAAAGAACUUUGAAAAGAGAGUUAAACAGUACGUGAAAUUGUCAAAAGGGAAGCGUUUGACACCAGUGUUGUUUUCUCGAAAAUCCAAUUAAAAAUGAUGGGAUUUUGUGUUGUAUUGACUUUAUCAGCUUUCUGCACUUUUUUUCUUAUCUUUUUUAAUGCACUUUUCGUUUAACAAGUCAACAUCAAUUUCUUUUGUUGUAAAAAGAGUCAUUGGAAGGUGGCUUUUUUCUUCGGAAAAAGUGUUUAUAGCCUUUGGCUUCUGCAAUCGGAGAGAUUGAGGUCUGCAGCGUAGAUCCUUCGGGGUUAGAUACAUUUGUGCUAAGCUAUAGUUCUUUAUAGACAACUUGUUGACUAUAAUCAAUCCUGUAACUUACUCGCUUAUGCUAUUUUACCUACGCUUAGGAUGUUGAUAGUCACAGCGUGUAC